Molecule: ribosomal RNA, 560 nt
Filed under: uncultured bacterium
Lineage: Bacteria
Description: bacterial SSU rRNA
Rfam family: Bacterial small subunit ribosomal RNA
Source: RNAcentral
GAUUGGCCCGCGUUGGAUUAGCUAGUUGGUGGGGUAAAGGCCUACCAAGGCGACGAUCCAUAGCUGGUCUGAGAGGAUGAUCAGCCACAUUGGGACUGAGACACGGCCCAAACUCCUACGGGAGGCAGCAGUGGGGAAUAUUGGACAAUGGGCGCAAGCCUGAUCCAGCCAUGCCGCGUGAGUGAUGAAGGCCUUAGGGUUGUAAAGCUCUUUCACCGAUGAAGAUAAUGACGGUAGUCGGAGAAGAAGCCCCGGCUAACUUCGUGCCAGCAGCCGCGGUAAUACGAAGGGGGCUAGCGUUGUUCGGAAUUACUGGGCGUAAAGCGCACGUAGGCGGAUAUUUAAGUCAGGGGUGAAAUCCCAGAGCUCAACUCUGGAACUGCCUUUGAUACUGGGUAUCUUGAGUAUGGAAGAGGUAAGUGGAAUUGCGAGUGUAGAGGUGAAAUUCGUAGAUAUUCGCAGGAACACCAGUGGCGAAGGCGGCUUACUGGUCCAUUACUGACGCUGAGGUGCGAAAGCGUGGGGAGCAAACCGGAUUAGAUACCCUGGUAGUCCACGCC